GGUUGAAGUUAUUGACAAUAUAUCAACAAAGGAGACUGGCAGAGGGAGAGAGGAAUAAGACAAGUUAGCAUUGACGGUAUGGAAUGAUAGAUGUAUGGAGGUGAUGGAACGAUAGCUGUAAGGAGGUGAUGGAAUGAUAGAUGUAUGGAGGUGAUGGAACAAUGGCUGUAUGGAGGUGAUGGACUGAUAGAUGCAUGGAGGUGAUGGAAUGAUAGACGUAGGGAGGUGAUGGAAUGAUAGCCACAUGGAGGUGAUGGAAU
Non-coding RNA from Pelobates cultripes (western spadefoot toad), 260 nucleotides. NCBI's taxonomy places the organism in Eukaryota, Metazoa, Chordata, Amphibia, Anura, Pelobatidae. The record is from the annotation of a GenBank genome assembly.